RNAcentral lists this long non-coding RNA (2574 nucleotides) under Salvia miltiorrhiza (redroot sage). Its description in RNAcentral is "long non-coding RNA (SMIL_LNC007562)". The record is from RNAcentral. Lineage: Eukaryota; Viridiplantae; Streptophyta; Magnoliopsida; Lamiales; Lamiaceae.
UGAAGUCAUCUUAAGUUGAGAAAACAAAAGAUGUAUAAGAGUAAUUGCUACAGCGGAAGUCUAACAUAUGAAUUUUAACUCUAGCCUCAGCUCCGUCCCGUCAGCACCAGCCAGCCAACCUGAAAACAUUUGAAAGUAUUUUUGGGCUAAGUACUAAUGUACUCAGUGGGCAUGCAUUUUCAUAAACAUUUCAUAUUUUCGUAAAGACAGUUUAUCCAAUCAUAAUUUACAUAACUUAGAAGGUUUUAAAUUGAAAGAACUUCUAAGCAUGUUAAAAUAAUUUCUUUCAUUUGUGCGCACAUGUCACACUCCCUUUCCGUUACUCGCUGUGAUCCCGGACCUUUUAGCCACCGACGGAUCCAUUACUCCUGCUUUACUUGGACUGAGGGCGUAACCCAGCCAAGCUCCCAUUUGGGACCCAAUGCUCCGGAACACAUCCCGUCGAGCACCCUUAUAACGCCUCAUACAUGAUUAGUGCCCGAUGGAGAUCAACCCACCAGGUCAGCUAAUAGGUGUACACAAUUCUCAAAUAACGUGUUAGGUCAAGAGAGAACCUCGAUCGAUUCAUUGUUGCGAGCCUUAAACGGAGCAGAGUGCACAAAAUAUUUUAUUGGAUAAACAGUUUGCAUUUAAUAGAAUAAACAAUUUGCAUUUCAUUGAAACAUUUAGAGCUUAAUAACUCAAUCAUACUUUAUACAUUUGGAAAGUAAGCCCACCUGAAUAGGCAAAGCCUGAAGAUCAUAAUCACAUAAACUCGUCUUGGGAAAGCAGCGCUAAUCCCCUUGGUUCAUAAAGCCUACAAGAAAUUCUAUUCUUAAUAGGUCUCGUGAAGCUAACUUAAAGUCUUAGUGGAUGUACUAAACAUACUUGAUUCAUCACGCCGGGUUUCCAAAAUUUAGUAAAUAAAUAAUUGAAAACUAAAUUAUUGAGUUAAGGACACCAACAAUAUCUUUACUCGAUUUUCUUAAAUAAUUGAAUUUAUGAAUAAACCAAUUAAAUCAUAAAUACUUUUAUUGCAUGAUGCAAAUGCAAUGUCAUGUCAUGCUUAGCAUAUAUAUGAUAAGUAAUUACUUAAAAUAUGCACUUCAUAAUAAUAAUAUUAUUAUGCAAAUCAUCUUUAAAAUAAUUAAUCAAAUUAAUUAUAGUCAAAUUAAUUAAAUUAUGGACUACCCAAAAUAAUUAAAUGUAAGGGCCAAUUCUUAGAAUUCCGCAGCCCAGGCAAUUAUAACAAAGGCCCAAACUAUUAAAUAAACUCAGCCCACAUAAAAUUAAUAAUACAAUCGGGCCCAAACACUAUUAAAUAAAUUCCGGCCCAGUCUAAUUAAAACCAAUCAGCCCAACUGCAAGCCCUAAGCCCAAACCAAAUUCCUCUCCCUUUUCUUCUUCUCCUACAGCCGCUCCCCUCCCCCUUCAUUCUCGUCUCUCUCUGUUUUCACAAAACACACACACACACACAGCCCGCUGGCGCCGGCGACACCGCCGUCGCCUCUCCACCCUCGUCCCUUCCUCCACCGCCUGACACCCCCACACAACGCAGAACUCUCCCUCUCUCUCAAAGCUCACGACACGCACAACGCAGCCACGCAGCAGCACGGCAUCGCCCUCAACUCCGGCGACAUCGCCGUCGAGCCGCCCUCUCGCCCCUCAACCUUCCUCUCUCUCUCACAAAGCUCCGUCGCUGCGGAAGCUCGCCGGGGAGCAGCGGCGAAAAGCCGCCGUCACCCACUGCUCUCCCCUCUCUCCGUCCGUGGCCGAGCGCCAACGGCAGGGCCGCCGCGCUCUGGCCUCCCUCUGUCUGACUCCUAUCGAAGCAGUCGCCCAUCCCCCUACCCUCUGCUCCCUCCGGCCGACAGCAGCGAGGACCGCCGCUGACCGCCGCCCCCUGACCUCUAGUCCAGCCCUCUGCAACCCCAGCUCAGUCCAUCUCCCUCUGUUUCCGGCGAGCAGCAGCGGAAGCCGCCACUUCGCCGCCCCUCCACCGACUCACACACAUACCGCACAUACUCAACAGGACACAUAUACACAACAGUCAAGCCUCGACCAAGCCUCGACACAGCAAGUUCGAAAAGUUAAAGCUUCAAGACUCUUCUUUCAUAAAGAUCUUUUCUUUUCUUUUCCUUUCAAUGAAUCAUGCUUUCAUUUAUAAAUAUAUGCACAGACUAUGAAUAAACAUGUAUACAGAUUGUAUGCAUUUAUGUAAAUAAUUUGUCAUGCUUGUGAAUUUGUUAUGAAAAUAUUGAAAUCUUGGUUGGUGUUCUGUACAAACGAGAUAGCUGUGUGUGCUUGAAACAGAGGCAAAGUAAAUUGAGGUAAACACCUUGUGAUGUCUGUGUAGGGGAAGAGUUCUUUGAAUGGUGGUCUCUUGUUGUAUACUUGAAACUCCAUGGAUAGGCUGGAACGAGAGAGUAAUUUGAAGGAUAUUUGAGUUGCUAGUGAAAGUGCAAAGGAUGGGUUUCCUUCAAUUAUGCAGAGAUAUUUGAGGGCUGAAAUUAGGGGAGUUGGUGGCUGCCAAGCAUGACUAAAUCUUGACUUUUGAAGUUGAUUGGGUUGACAUGAGAUGGAGUGGGGUGGCUG